CACGUAGGGGCGAGCGUUGUCCGGAAUUACUGGGCGUAAAGGGCGCGCAGGCUGUUAUGCGAGUCUGCUGUGAAAUGUACCGGCUCAACCGGUGCCUUGCGGCGGAUACUGCAUAGCUGGAGUACUGGAGAGGGAAGUGGAAUUCCUGGUGUAGCGGUGGAAUGCGCAGAGAUCAGGAGGAAUACCGAAGGCGAAGGCAGUCUUCCAAGCCGUUAUUGACGCUCAACUGCGAAGGUGUGGGUAUCAAACAGGAUUAGA
This 258-nucleotide ribosomal RNA is filed under the name uncultured prokaryote. RNAcentral describes it as "partial 16S ribosomal RNA". It matches the Rfam family "Bacterial small subunit ribosomal RNA", at positions 524 to 782 of the family's 1533-position model. The record is from RNAcentral.